Molecule: RNA transcript, 1687 nt
Organism: Chiroxiphia lanceolata (lance-tailed manakin)
Lineage: Eukaryota; Metazoa; Chordata; Aves; Passeriformes; Pipridae
Gene: ECSCR
Gene name: endothelial cell surface expressed chemotaxis and apoptosis regulator
Exons: 11
Source: RefSeq, a predicted model, not a curated record
CUCGCCCUGCGCUCCUUCCCGGCAUGGCCAGAGCCUCGGCGGGGCUCCGGAGCCGCAGCCGCCGCAGAGAUGCUGCUCCCAUCCAUCCCUCUGCUCCUCUGGCUCUUCCUGCUGCUCCCAGGUUCCACAGCCUCCACAAACUCCUCCAUCGAUGCUGUAACAGGUCCACCCCAGCCAACAACACACAGCCCUGAAGUGAAGAACCACACCUCAGAGCCGGCAGUAAAACCAACAACACCCCCCAGCCCGAGUCCCACCUCUGCGGGUCAAACUACUACAGCCACACCCUCCACCACCACCAACACUCCAACAACACUGCCAGCCUCAACUGGGCAAGAUGAUAAGCCUAGUGGAAACAGAAGCACAGCAGCUACUUCUCCAACACCUCAAGAUCAAGAGCCCACGAGAAGGGAGAGAACCACAACACCAGUGCCUCAAGGUGUUCCCUCCUCCCAGAGAGGCCCCUCAGAGCCUGUCACCCCCACGCUGAACUCCUCUGAGCCCACCCCGACGGACGACGGAUCACCACUGACAGUGGCAGCUUUUGGUGUCAUCAGCUUCAUUGUUAUCCUGGUGGUGGUGGUGAUCAUCCUGGUCAGUGUGGUCAGCCUGAGGUUCAAGUGUAACCGCUCCAAGGAGGAAGACAAACAGAAACCAGGAAGCUCCAUGGUAUCAGAGAGCUGCUCAGCAGACACGAGCCAGAAGGACAACAGCAUCACUCUGAUCUCCAUGAAGAACAUCAACAUGAACAACAGCAUGAGUUACCCACCAUCAGAAAAGGUGUCCCUUUUCAGUCUUGCUUUUUAGGGCAUUAGCUGGGGAUCAUUUCUGUGGCUGGAUAAGAGCAUGCCUUUGAGGUUCUAUGAAGAGCCCAGAGAAUGAAGCUGAGACAUCACAACCAGCAGUGACUUUCUAGGUUCUUUUUCUUUUUUUUCCCUUUGUGGAAAGAGCGAGGGUGGAUUUUAUAUAUAAAUUAUUAUGUCCUUUCUGAUCAAUACAUAUAGUGUUCUACAUAGCUUCCCCACCUGGGGCCUAAGGGCUUUCUCCAGUUACGGCCUGCCAUGCUCAGUGGUUGAUAUCUAACUCUAUUUUUGAGAUGCCUUCAAACACUCAGAAUAAAUCCAGCAGCAGAAAGCACCAAGGCACCACCUACUUCACUAAUGGCCUUUACAGUCUGUGCCAGGCAGUCACGGGCUCGUUAAUCAGCGCAGCCCCACGUCAAGUCAAACCCGUGUGUUAGGAAAGCCUGAUCUGAAGACCUGAGGAGACUUAAAUGGCCAAGUUCUAGGUCAAAUCCCAGUAUGAUAAUCCAAGCCCCUUAUCCCUGGUGCCCUCAUUGUCCCCACAGUGGUGGGGAUGAUCACACCCACCUGCCUCACAGGGUUGUUGUGAGGCUACAGUAGUCCAUGUCUGUACAGCAUUUGGAGAGCCGUGAAUUAAAGGUGCUGCUGAAAUACAAUUUGCUGUCUUAAAGACUUUAUUAUUAAUACCUGAGCUUCAGGCAGGCAGAUCACUGCCUUCACAUGUGCUUAAACACUCAUCAGUGUGAGGAAUGAAGUCUCUGCACAGACAGGGGUUUAGCUGAGUGUAAAACCCAGUGGCCACAAGCAACAUGCUGAGCUACUUGAGUUCCUGGAGUCUGGCAGCGCGAGUGUGCUUGGGAGAGCUUCCAUCGCCUCCACCACUG